RNAcentral lists this ribosomal RNA (217 nucleotides) under uncultured bacterium. Its description in RNAcentral is "partial 16S ribosomal RNA". It matches the Rfam family "Bacterial small subunit ribosomal RNA", at positions 1284 to 1500 of the family's 1533-position model. The record is from RNAcentral.
GAUCUCAGUUCGGACUGUAGGCUGCAACUCGCCUACACGAAGUUGGAAUUGCUAGUAAUCGUGGAUCAGCAUGCCACGGUGAAUACGUUCCCGGGUCUUGUACACACCGCCCGUCACACCAUGGGAGCUGGUAACACCCGAAGUCAGUAGCCUAACCGCAAGGAGGACGCUGCCGAAGGUGGGAUUAGCGACUGGGGUGAAGUCGUAACAAGGUACC